RNAcentral lists this ribosomal RNA (626 nucleotides) under Ciliophora sp. RNAcentral's name for it is "SSU rRNA". It matches the Rfam family "Eukaryotic small subunit ribosomal RNA", at positions 341 to 980 of the family's 1831-position model. Lineage: Eukaryota; Ciliophora. The record is from RNAcentral.
CUACCAUGGCGUUUACGGGUAACGGAGGAUUAGGGUUCGAUUCCGGAGAGGGAGCCUGAGAAACGGCUACCACAUCUAAGGAAGGCAGCAGGCGCGUAAAUUACCCAAUCCUGACUCAGGGAGGUAGUGACAAGAAAUAACAGACCGGUUCCUUUGGAUUCGGGAUUGCAAUGAGCCGAAUUUACACCCCUUAGCGAGGAUCGAUUGGAGGGCAAGUCUGGUGCCAGCAGCCGCGGUAAUUCCAGCUCCAAUAGCGUAUAUUAAAGUUGUUGCAGUUAAAAAGCUCGUAGUUGGAUUUCUGGGAGGGUGCCAAUGUCCGUCGACGUACGUGUUGCAGCGGCGCCCUUCCAUCCUUCUGUUAACGGCUCUCGGCAUUUAUUUGCUGGUGUCGGGCUCAGAUAUUUUACCUUGAGAAAAUUAGAGUGUUUCAGGCAGGCUAGGCCGGAAUACAUUAGCAUGGAAUAAUGGAAUAGGACUACGGUCUCUUUGUUGGUUUGAGGGACUGCAGUAAUGAUUAAUAGGGAUAGUUGGGGGCAUUAGUAUUUAAUUGUCAGAGGUGGAAUUCUCGGAUUUGUUAAAGACUAACUUAUGCGAAAGCAUUUGCCAAGGAUGUUUUCAUUAAUCAA